AUUAGGCGGGGCGGCGAGUCCGACUCAUAAAUAUUUUAAGGAAUGACCCGGCCCUGGGGUGCGGAAUUGCUGCGCGGGCGGGGGC
This is a non-coding RNA of Homo sapiens (human), 85 nucleotides long. The record is from RefSeq and is marked provisional. Lineage: Eukaryota; Metazoa; Chordata; Mammalia; Primates; Hominidae.